Molecule: ribosomal RNA, 497 nt
Filed under: uncultured bacterium
Lineage: Bacteria
Description: partial 16S ribosomal RNA
Rfam family: Bacterial small subunit ribosomal RNA
Source: RNAcentral
GAUGAACGCUGGCGGCGUGCCUAAUACAUGCAAGUCGAGCGAACGGACGAGAAGCUUGCUUCUCUGAUGUUAGCGGCGGACGGGUGAGUAACACGUGGAUAACCUACCUAUAAGACUGGGAUAACUUCGGGAAACCGGAGCUAAUACCGGAUGAUAUUUUGAACCGCAUGGUUCAAAAGUGAAAGACGGUCUUGCUGUCACUUAUAGAUGGAUCCGCGCUGCAUUAGCUAGUUGGUAAGGUAACGGCUUACCAAGGCAACGAUGCAUAGCCGACCUGAGAGGGUGAUCGGCCACACUGGAACUGAGACAGGGUCCAGACUCCUACGGGAGGCAGCAGUAGGGAAUCUUCCGCGAUGGGCGAAAGCCUGACGGAGCAACGCCGCGUGAGUGAUGAAGGUCUUCGGAUCGUAAAACUCUGUUAUUAGGGAAGAACAUAUGUGUAAGUAACUGUGCACAUCUUGACGGUACCUAAUCAGAAAGCCACGGCUAACUACGUG